UCAUAUUUCAUUAAUGUAAAAGUUGUAGAUGAAUAUUUAAGACAGAAAUCUUGGUUACCUUUGGAUCAGGGAAGAUUUCUCACCCAGGAUACAGAAAACAUUUAAAAAUUGGAAAACAAAUCUCAGAGUUAAAAACUUGCCUUUGGUAAAACACUAUUAUGAAAAUGAAAGUCAUAGACUGGGAAACAGUAUUUUCAGUAUAAAAAGCAUACAGAAGAUACUCAACGUCAUUAGGCAUCAGGGAAAUGCAAACUAAAACCACGCAUACCCACUAGAAUCGCUGAAGUUUAAGAAUAUGACAAUACAAAGUGUUGACAAGAAUGUGGAGAAACGGGAACUCUUAUACGUUGCUGGCAGUAAUUGAACAUGUUACUACCAUGGCCUUUUCUCAUAAAGCGACUUUAAUCAAUUCCUAGGCAUUUGUCCAAGAGAAAUGAAAACACAGGCCCCUAUAAAGACUUACACAUGCACAUUCAUAGAGCUCUUAUGAAUAAUAAUUUCCAAAGAACUAGAAACAACUGAAAUGUCCACCCAUAGGCAAAUUAAUAAAUUGCAACAUAUCCAUAUAAUGAAAUAUCAUUUUGCAACACAAAGGAAUAAAUUAGUGAUUCACGUGGGUGUAUUUUAAAAUACUGUAAGGAAAAGAAACCAGACACAAAAGAGAAACCGCUAUAUGAUUGCAUCUAUGUGAAAUAUUAGGAAAACCAAAUUUAAUCUAGAAAGCAGAUCUCGGGUUGUCUUGGCCAGGGGUGGUUGGUCCAGACAUAUGGGGAAG
RNAcentral lists this long non-coding RNA (775 nucleotides) under Marmota monax (woodchuck). Lineage: Eukaryota; Metazoa; Chordata; Mammalia; Rodentia; Sciuridae. The record is from RNAcentral.